RNAcentral lists this ribosomal RNA (464 nucleotides) under uncultured bacterium. RNAcentral's name for it is "partial 16S ribosomal RNA". It matches the Rfam family "Bacterial small subunit ribosomal RNA", at positions 28 to 507 of the family's 1533-position model. The record is from RNAcentral.
GACGAACGCUGGCGGCGUGCUUAACACAUGCAAGUCGAACGGUAAGGCCCCAGCUUGCUGGGGUACACGAGUGGCGAACGGGUGAGUAACACGUGGGUGACCUGCCCCGCACUUCCGGAUAAGCCUGGGAAACUGGGUCUAAUAUCGGAUAGGACCGCACCGACAGGGUGUGGUGGAAAGUUUUUCGGUGUGGGAUGGGCCCUCGGCCUAUCAGCUUGUUGGUGGGGUAAUGGCGUACGAAGGCGGCGACGGGUAGCCGGCCUGAGAGGGUGGACGGCCACAUUGGGACUGAGACACGGACCAGACUCCUACGGGAGGCAGCAGUGGGGAAUAUUGCACAAUGGGCGGAAGCCUGAUGCAGCGACGCCGCGUGGGGGAUGACGGCCUUCGGGUUGUAAACACCUUUCUCCAUCGACGAAGGUUUUCUGACGGUAGAUGGAGAAGAAGCACUGGCUAACUACGUG